Molecule: ribosomal RNA, 491 nt
Filed under: uncultured bacterium
Lineage: Bacteria
Description: partial 16S ribosomal RNA
Rfam family: Bacterial small subunit ribosomal RNA
Source: RNAcentral
GUGAACGCUGGCGGUAGGCCUAACACCUGCCAGUCACACGGCAGCACAGUAAGAGCUUGCUCUUACGGGUGGCGAGUGGCGGACGGGUGAGGAAUACAUCGGAAUCUACUUUUUCGUGGGGGAUAACGUAGGGAAACUUACGCUAAUACCGCAUACGACCUACGGGUGAAAGCAGGGGAUCUUCGGACCUUGCGCGAUUGCAUGAGCCGAUGUCGGAUUAGCUAGUUGGCGGGGUAAAGGCCCACCAAGGCGACGAUCCGUAGCUGGUCUGAGAGGAUGAUCAGCCACACUGGAACUGAGACACGGUCCAGACUCCUACGGGAGGCAGCAGUGGGGAAUAUUGGACAAAGGGCGCAAGCCUGAUCCAGCCAUACCGCGUGGGUGAAGAAGGCCUUCGGGUUGUAAAGCCCUUUUGUUGGGAAAGAAAAGCAGCAGGUUAAUACCCCGCUGUUCUGACGGUACCCAAAGAAUAAGCACCGGCUAACUUCGUG